This 2903-nucleotide ribosomal RNA is filed under the name Escherichia coli. RNAcentral's name for it is "bacterial LSU rRNA". It matches the Rfam family "Bacterial large subunit ribosomal RNA". The record is from RNAcentral. Lineage: Bacteria; Pseudomonadati; Pseudomonadota; Gammaproteobacteria; Enterobacterales; Enterobacteriaceae.
UUAAGCGACUAAGCGUACACGGUGGAUGCCCUGGCAGUCAGAGGCGAUGAAGGACGUGCUAAUCUGCGAUAAGCGUCGGUAAGGUGAUAUGAACCGUUAUAACCGGCGAUUUCCGAAUGGGGAAACCCAGUGUGUUUCGACACACUAUCAUUAACUGAAUCCAUAGGUUAAUGAGGCGAACCGGGGGAACUGAAACAUCUAAGUACCCCGAGGAAAAGAAAUCAACCGAGAUUCCCCCAGUAGCGGCGAGCGAACGGGGAGGAGCCCAGAGCCUGAAUCAGUGUGUGUGUUAGUGGAAGCGUCUGGAAAGGCGCGCGAUACAGGGUGACAGCCCCGUACACAAAAAUGCACAUGCUGUGAGCUCGAUGAGUAGGGCGGGACACGUGGUAUCCUGUCUGAAUAUGGGGGGACCAUCCUCCAAGGCUAAAUACUCCUGACUGACCGAUAGUGAACCAGUACCGUGAGGGAAAGGCGAAAAGAACCCCGGCGAGGGGAGUGAAAAAGAACCUGAAACCGUGUACGUACAAGCAGUGGGAGCCUCUUUAUGGGGUGACUGCGUACCUUUUGUAUAAUGGGUCAGCGACUUAUAUUCUGUAGCAAGGUUAACCGAAUAGGGGAGCCGAAGGGAAACCGAGUCUUAACUGGGCGUUAAGUUGCAGGGUAUAGACCCGAAACCCGGUGAUCUAGCCAUGGGCAGGUUGAAGGUUGGGUAACACUAACUGGAGGACCGAACCGACUAAUGUUGAAAAAUUAGCGGAUGACUUGUGGCUGGGGGUGAAAGGCCAAUCAAACCGGGAGAUAGCUGGUUCUCCCCGAAAGCUAUUUAGGUAGCGCCUCGUGAACUCAUCUCCGGGGGUAGAGCACUGUUUCGGCAAGGGGGUCAUCCCGACUUACCAACCCGAUGCAAACUGCGAAUACCGGAGAAUGUUAUCACGGGAGACACACGGCGGGUGCUAACGUCCGUCGUGAAGAGGGAAACAACCCAGACCGCCAGCUAAGGUCCCAAAGUCAUGGUUAAGUGGGAAACGAUGUGGGAAGGCCCAGACAGCCAGGAUGUUGGCUUAGAAGCAGCCAUCAUUUAAAGAAAGCGUAAUAGCUCACUGGUCGAGUCGGCCUGCGCGGAAGAUGUAACGGGGCUAAACCAUGCACCGAAGCUGCGGCAGCGACGCUUAUGCGUUGUUGGGUAGGGGAGCGUUCUGUAAGCCUGUGAAGGUGUACUGUGAGGUAUGCUGGAGGUAUCAGAAGUGCGAAUGCUGACAUAAGUAACGAUAAAGCGGGUGAAAAGCCCGCUCGCCGGAAGACCAAGGGUUCCUGUCCAACGUUAAUCGGGGCAGGGUGAGUCGACCCCUAAGGCGAGGCCGAAAGGCGUAGUCGAUGGGAAACAGGUUAAUAUUCCUGUACUUGGUGUUACUGCGAAGGGGGGACGGAGAAGGCUAUGUUGGCCGGGCGACGGUUGUCCCGGUUUAAGCGUGUAGGCUGGUUUUCCAGGCAAAUCCGGAAAAUCAAGGCUGAGGCGUGAUGACGAGGCACUACGGUGCUGAAGCAACAAAUGCCCUGCUUCCAGGAAAAGCCUCUAAGCAUCAGGUAACAUCAAAUCGUACCCCAAACCGACACAGGUGGUCAGGUAGAGAAUACCAAGGCGCUUGAGAGAACUCGGGUGAAGGAACUAGGCAAAAUGGUGCCGUAACUUCGGGAGAAGGCACGCUGAUAUGUAGGUGAAGCGACUUGCUCGUGGAGCUGAAAUCAGUCGAAGAUACCAGCUGGCUGCAACUGUUUAUUAAAAACACAGCACUGUGCAAACACGAAAGUGGACGUAUACGGUGUGACGCCUGCCCGGUGCCGGAAGGUUAAUUGAUGGGGUUAGCGGUAACGCGAAGCUCUUGAUCGAAGCCCCGGUAAACGGCGGCCGUAACUAUAACGGUCCUAAGGUAGCGAAAUUCCUUGUCGGGUAAGUUCCGACCUGCACGAAUGGCGUAAUGAUGGCCAGGCUGUCUCCACCCGAGACUCAGUGAAAUUGAACUCGCUGUGAAGAUGCAGUGUACCCGCGGCAAGACGGAAAGACCCCGUGAACCUUUACUAUAGCUUGACACUGAACAUUGAGCCUUGAUGUGUAGGAUAGGUGGGAGGCUUUGAAGUGUGGACGCCAGUCUGCAUGGAGCCGACCUUGAAAUACCACCCUUUAAUGUUUGAUGUUCUAACGUUGACCCCUAAUCGGGGUUGCGGACAGUGUCUGGUGGGUAGUUUGACUGGGGCGGUCUCCUCCUAAAGAGUAACGGAGGAGCACGAAGGUUGGCUAAUCCUGGUCGGACAUCAGGAGGUUAGUGCAAUGGCAUAAGCCAGCUUGACUGCGAGCGUGACGGCGCGAGCAGGUGCGAAAGCAGGUCAUAGUGAUCCGGUGGUUCUGAAUGGAAGGGCCAUCGCUCAACGGAUAAAAGGUACUCCGGGGAUAACAGGCUGAUACCGCCCAAGAGUUCAUAUCGACGGCGGUGUUUGGCACCUCGAUGUCGGCUCAUCACAUCCUGGGGCUGAAGUAGGUCCCAAGGGUAUGGCUGUUCGCCAUUUAAAGUGGUACGCGAGCUGGGUUUAGAACGUCGUGAGACAGUUCGGUCCCUAUCUGCCGUGGGCGCUGGAGAACUGAGGGGGGCUGCUCCUAGUACGAGAGGACCGGAGUGGACGCAUCACUGGUGUUCGGGUUGUCAUGCCAAUGGCACUGCCCGGUAGCUAAAUGCGGAAGAGAUAAGUGCUGAAAGCAUCUAAGCACGAAACUUGCCCCGAGAUGAGUUCUCCCUGACUCCUUGAGAGUCCUGAAGGAACGUUGAAGACGACGACGUUGAUAGGCCGGGUGUGUAAGCGCAGCGAUGCGUUGAGCUAACCGGUACUAAUGAACCGUGAGGCUUAACCUU